CCCUUAGAUGUUCUGGGCAGCACGCGCGCUACAAUGGUCUUCGCAAACGGAUACAUUCUCGAAGGAGAAUGCCAAUCUUGGAAUCUAUGCCUUGGUCGGGACAGUUGCUUGCAAUUUUUCGACUUGAACCAGGAAUUCCUUGUAAUCGUGAUUCAUCACAUCACGAUGAAUACGUCCCUGCCCUUUGUACACACCGCCCGUCGCUCCUACCGAUCGAAGAGUUAGGUGAAUUGUUUUGAUCGAUAAGAUUUGACUAUGGUCAACUCUCGUUGUGAAAUUCUGUGAAUCUGACUGUUUAGAGGAAGGAAAAGUCGUAACA
This 319-nucleotide ribosomal RNA is filed under the name uncultured eukaryote. RNAcentral describes it as "partial 18S ribosomal RNA". It matches the Rfam family "Eukaryotic small subunit ribosomal RNA", at positions 1470 to 1796 of the family's 1831-position model. The record is from RNAcentral.